Molecule: ribosomal RNA, 468 nt
Filed under: uncultured bacterium
Lineage: Bacteria
Description: partial 16S ribosomal RNA
Rfam family: Bacterial small subunit ribosomal RNA
Source: RNAcentral
GACGAACGCUGGCGGCGUGCUUAACACAUGCAAGUCGAACGGAAAGGCCCUGCUUUUGUGGGGUGCUCGAGUGGCGAACGGGUGAGUAACACGUGAGUAACCUGCCCUUGACUUUGGGAUAACUUCAGGAAACUGGGGCGAAUACCGGAUAGGAGCUCCUGCUGCAUGGUGGGGGUUGGAAAGUUUCGGCGGUUGGGGAUGGACUCGCGGCUUAUCAGCUUGUUGGUGGGGUAGUGGCUUACCAAGGCUUUGACGGGUAGCCGGCCUGAGCGGGUGACCGGCCACAGUGGGACUGAGAUACGGCCCAGACUCCUCCGGGAGGCAGCAGUGGGGCAUAUUGCACAAUGGGCGGAAGCAUGAUGCAGCAACGCAGCGUGAGGGAUGACGGCCUUCGGGUUGUAAACCGCUUUCGCCUGUGACGAAGCGUGAGUGACGGUAAUGGGUAAAGAAGCACCGGCUAACUACGUG